AAGGAGCUUCCAAGAGUUUGAAGCAGCGGUUGACGACUGCCCGAUCCUAACCUUGCCAACUGCUGAGCCAGGGUAUGUGAUUUAUAGUGACGCUUAACUUUAAAUGGUUGGGUGGUUUUUGAUGCAAGGACCAGGAAAGUAUCGCGUAUGCAUCUCGCCAAUUGAAGGACCUAUGAAAGGAAUUACCCCAAUCACGACUGGAGUUGGCGCCGUAGUCUUUGCAUGAAGCUAAUGGCGCCAUUACCUCUAUGGCGCGAUGCGAAGUAUAUUACGGAUCACAAGAGCUUAAAGACUUUUCACUCAGAAGGAGUUUUGAACUUGAGGCAGCGCAGAUGGUUGAGCUUUCCAAGGAUUAUGACCUUGGACUAUUCUUUACCACCCCGGGCAAGGCCUAACGUGGUGGCAGAUGCACAAAAGUCGGAAAUCGACUGAGAACUUAGCGAAUGCUUAUGGUUUACUCAACUGCGUUGAUUCCGAGCAGCAUGAAGCGAUGAGUUGGAGGUGGGGCUCCUGAUACACCUUUGAGAACUGAUGGCUUUGGUGGUGCAACCCACACUUUUGGAAAGGAUUAAAGAAGCAAAGCUUCCGACUCGGAGUGCAAAAGAAAUUCGAGCUUAAGAGGUUGAUGGUUGCACCGGUGACUUCACUUUGAGACGGUGAAUGGAUUGAUGCGUUUUCCACGUGGACGACUUUGUGUCCCGACGGAUUUGGGCAUCAAAGAGGAUAUUCUUCAAGAAGCACAUCGAGCACCGUAUGCUAUACAUCCGGGAGGCACCAAAAUGUAUAAGGACUUGAAGUUGCUUUACUGGUGGCCGGGGAUGAAAAAGGAUAUUGGUGAGUUUGUUGUUAGAUGUCUAACUUGCCAACAGGUGAAGGCUGAGCACUGAGUUCCUGCGGGAAAGUUGCAGAGCCUACCGAUUCCAGUGUGGAAGUGGGAAAAGAUCACCAUGGACUUCGUGAUGGGAUUGCCUCGCUCACAGGCCGGGCAUGACGCUAUUUGGGUGAUUGUGGAUAGGUUGACGAAAUCGGCACAUUUCAUACCUAUCCACACUACUUGGACUGGUGAGAGACUCGCACAGGUUUAUUUGGAUGAGAUUGUGCGAUUACACAGGGUACCUACUUCCAUAGUAUCAGACCGAGACCCCCGUUUUGUAUCCCACUUUUGGAGGAGCUUACAGGACGCUCUGGGUACGCGUUUGGACUUCAGUACAGCUUUCCACCCCCAGAGUGACGGGCAGUCAGAGCGUACUAUACAGACUGUCGAGGACAUGCUUCGAGCCUGCGUGAUCGACUUCCAGGGAGGAUGGUCGCAGCAUCUACCGAUGGCAGAGUUUGUUUAUAACAACAGUUAUCAAGCAAGCAUCAAGAUGGCACCGUUCGAGGCACUCUAUGGACGGAAGUGUAGAUCGCCACUUCAUUGGAGUGAAGUUGGUGAGAGAUUGGCUUUAGGCCCUGAUAUGCUCCAGGAAGCAGAAGACUAGGUUCGCAUCGCUCGGGAGCGAUUGUUGACAGCCCAGAGUAGGCAGAGGAGCUACGCUCAUCGGCAUCGACGAGAUUUGGAGUUUCAGAUUGGAGACCAUGUGUUCUUGAAAGUCUCGCCGACCAAAGGAAUUCGAAGAUUUGGAAUCCGGGGCAAGUUGAGCCCCCGAUAUAUUGGACUGUAUGAGGUUUUGGAGCGUGUAGGCCCGGUAGCGUAUCGACUCGCUCUAUCGCCAAACCUAUCGGGUGUACACAAUGUGUUUCAUGUAUCGGUCCUUCGGAAGUACAUCCACGACCCAGCUCAUGUUUUGGACGCUACGCCUUUGGAGCUGAGGGAUGACUUGAGCUUUGAGGAGCAACCCUUGAGGAUUGUGGCUCGCAAGGUGAAAAGAUUGCGGAACCGAGAAAUUCCUUACGUGAAGGUGCUUUGGAGCAACCACGACGAGCGUGAGGCCACUUGGAAGCUGGAGAGCGCACUGCUGGAGCGCUAUCCCCAUCUUUUUCAGAUGGAGGCUUAAGGUAUUUGUCAUUUCGAGUUUCGCGGACGAAACUCCUUUUUAGGAGGGGUGAAUGUAACACACUGGACCUUUGCAAAUUGCGAGGUUCGAGUGUUUGGAGGUAUUUCGAGCUUUUCCGCGCUUCGUGGAGGGUUGUAGAAUGUUUUCCGACCUAAAAAGUUCGAAAACUGGAAUUCUGGACAAGUCCUGAGAGUUUUUACUCACGGGAACCGGUCCAUGGAAGGAGAGACCGGUCUCGCAGUGAACAGUGUUCCGGCAGCCCUGAGGCAACCGGUCCUUGGCGGGCGAGACCGGUCCCCGAGCGCGCCUUCGCAGAAAGAGACCGGUUCCGCGCAGGGAGAGACCGGUUCCCGAACGUUGGUUUUUCGGGUUCGCAGCGAGAGACCGGUCCCUGCUGGGGAGAGACCGGUCCCUCUGGGCGAAAAAUGCCGAGACCGGGCUGAUGCAAUAUUGGGUUUUUGAGGGGCCUCUUGGGAUUUUGUUACUCUAGAUGGCUUAUAGGGCCACACCCCCCUCUUCCCUUCUCAUUUCUCUCCUCACACCCUCUCCCCACACCUUCUAGAGAGAGAAGAAGAAGAAGGAGGAGAAGAAGAAGAGGAGUUUGCUUGAGGGAGCUUGGAGCUCAACCUCCCCAUUUCUCUCCUUUCCAUCCUUGCAAGGCUUGGAGCUUGCUUGUAGGGCUUAGUGGUAGACCAAUCUUCAACCUUAGAAGAUUUGGAGCUUGUUUUGAGGCAUCUAAAGAGGUUAGUACUUUGAUUCUACCCUUUGAUUCUUGUUUUGGUAGAUUUUGCCUUUUGGAACCCUAGAAUGAGAUUUAGGGUUGAUUUUGGGGCUUUUUGAUAUAGGGCUUUUGAGGCUAGAUUGAUUGGAUUAGAACCUUCCUUGAGUUUGGAUUGGAAGGGUUCUAGCUCUCUUUUAGAGCUUUGGGAGAGAUUUCUUCUCUUGAGGUGAGUUUUAGCCCUUUUGUUAGGUUGUUAAAGUUUGACCUUAUAGAUUGAUCGUAAUGCCCGUGUAUCUCUUCGCUCAAUACUUCUAGGGUAUUUCGAGACUCGGGGACAACUUUGUUCGGCGAAACGAGGCGCUACGCGACGGUUCGGUGGGUUUGACUAAGCCUACAUAUGAGAAAUUCUCAUAUAUGGUUACAUAUGUUCCGUAAAUUGAAAAAACAUGCAUGUUCAUACUAAAUGUAUUUAUUAUGAUUUUUAGAAUGCUUAAAAUGCAUAUGUUACAUAUGAUGAAAUUUUGGACCUCUAUGUAGUAGAGAGUUGCUUGGGAGAUCUAUGGUUGCAUUUAGCAUUCUUUAUGAGACUUGGUUUCAUGCUUCUAUAGUGUAAAUGAGUUCGGAUUCAUGCAUUUAAACUUGAGUUUACUUGUGACAUGAAAGAUGACAAGAUUGCCAUUUAGAAGGUAUGUGAACUAGAGAGCUAAUGUCAUCAAGCGGCAUUGAGCUCGGGACAUGUGAGAACCUAGUGGAUAGGGCCAUUGAGGGAUUUGGAAUACAUGUUGAACAUCAAAUUGCCUAAGUGUCAUCAAGGGGCACUAGGCGUAGCAAAUGUUGAAACUUCACAUUGUGACUUAAACUAGAUCUUCGGGAUGCUAGUGACCAUACCAUGUUAGAGACAUGAGGAUUGGAUAUUUGAGACUUGGACUAUGCUUGCUUGCCAUUUGUGCUCAUUCGCACAUGCUUGUGAGGGUCGCUCCCUACAAGCCGGCACUCCGGAGUUAGCCUACGCGACUUAUGUUCGCUCGUGCGGUAUUGAGAAGCCUACGGGGUCGAGUGGGACAGACACAUUCCAAGAGUAGGGAUGUUGGGCUACCACAGGCACUUAGGCGGCACAAGCUGGACUACCUUUGGUAGGUCCUUAAUUGGAAAUGGAAAUCGACACGGUGUUGAGAAUGGUUAAUCACUACUAGAUAGGUUUAGUAGUUGAAUUACAUUUAUAUGCUUUUAGCAUAGUGUUGAGACAUGUAGUAUACUUGAUAGUCUCCUUUUGCAUUAAAGCAUACUUGGUUGCCAUAACAGAACUUAUGCAUAAUGUAUUGAUAAAGGUUAAUGACACUUAGCUAUUGCCAUUGGACAUACUAUUGUGAUAUCGUAGAUGUACAUCACCAUGACAUCGUUUAUACUUGAGUUUAAUAAUUUAGCAUUUUAGUUAUGCCUUUAUAUCGCAGUCAUUAUUGCUAUCAUUAUUGUACUUACCCUUUCCUUUUGGGGCCUAGUGGUGCAUUGAGCUGAGGUCAGUAAUUGCCCACUGGGAACUAUAAAUUAUAGUUCUCACGCCCUCUUUUUUCGAUGUUUUUCAGAGCCUUCCACGCAGGGUGAGGCCAGGGAUCGCGGGAAGGGAGUUGCUUCGAGCUAGCUUCCUUCGAGGGCGAGUUGUUAGGUGGUCUACCUCCCGAUAUUUACUUGUCUUACCGAGAGGUUGAGGGUUUUGGCAGUGUACUAGAGACCACCAUUUUUAUAUUAGAGACAGAUAUUGUACUACUUAUGAUUUCUUUUAUUGUCUAGCUUUACUUUGGUGUAGAUGUUAGAACUUUACUUGCUCUGAUGUCAUUAGUUGCUAGUCAUUUCACUUUCUCUAUUUGUUCUAUUACUUGCUUUUACUUCCGCUUUUAUUCUAGACGCCUUAUAUGUGUAGACAUAUGGCGGGUCUGGGCACGCUACCGGGAGGGCCGCAGCCGGUCCCGGGGCGUGACAACAACCCUCCACCAAGUGUGGAAAAGCUCGAAAUAUAUCCAAACACUCGAACCUCGCAAUUUGCAAAGGUCCAGUGUGCUACAAGAUGGGCUUAUUAGCCAUUCCACCCUCUCUCCUUCCUCAUUUCCUCAUUCUCACCCUCUCCCUACACUUUCUAGAGAGAGAAGAAGAAGGAGGAGGAGAAGAAGUGGAGGAGGAUCUUGCUUGAGGAAGCUUGGAGCUCAACCCCCUUUUUCUCUUUUCCACCCUUGCAAGGCUUGGAGCUUGCUUGUAGGGCUUGGUGGUGGACCAAUCUUCAAUCCUAGAAGAUUUGGAGCUUGUUUGGAGGCAUCUUGAGAGGUUAGUACCUUGAUUCUAAUCUUUGAUCCUUGUUUUGGUAGGUUUUACCAUAUGGAACCCUAGAUUGGGAUUUUAGCAUUUUGGGUAUUUUGAACCUAGGGCUUUUGGAGCUUGAUCACUCAGAUUAGAGCCUUCCUUUGGGUUGGAUUGGAAGGGAUUUAGCUCUCUUUUGGAGCUUAGGAAGAGAUUUUGCACUAGAGAUGAGUUUUUGACCCUAUUCUUGAGAUAGUUAAAAUUUGAGCCUAGGGUUGCUCGUAACGCUUGUGUAUCUCUUCGCUCAUCACUUUUAGGGUAUUUUGAGACUCGUGGACAACCCCGUUCGGCGAAUCGAAGGAGCACGCGACGGUUCGGUGGGUUUGACCUAGCCACACAAUGAGAAAAUCUCAUUGUUGAUGUUUUAAGUGUUGUAAAAUGCAAAAGCAUGCAUAAUCAUGUUAGAUACAUUUAUUAUGAAUUUUUGAAUGCUUAACAUGCAUAUGUAAUGUAUAAUAAAUUUUUGGACCUCUAUGUGGUAGAGUGCAUGCAUGUGAGAUAUAGCAUCCUAGUUGAGAUUUGGAACUAUGAUUCCCAUUAUGAAAUUGGACAUUGCUAUUAUGCAUUUAACCUUUAUGCCUAAUCGUGACAUCAGAACCUUAGUAAGCCAUAAAGAGGCUUGGGGACUUGUACUACUUGUGAAUAAUUGGGCUAAUGUCAUAAAGGGGCAUUGAGCUCGGUCAUGUGCGAACCUAGUGGAUAGUGCCAUUGAGAGAAUUGGAACAUGCUUGUACAUCGAAAUGUCUAAGUGUCAUAAAGGGGCACUAGACUUAGUAAAUAUGAGAAUUUCACAUUGUGACAUAGAACUAGAUCUUCGAGAUGCUAGUGAUUAUUGCCAUGUUAGAGACAUGAUGAUUGGAUAUUUGAGACAUUGACCUUGCUUGUUUGCCAUUUGUGCUCAUUCGCACAUGCUUGUGAGGGUCGCUCCCUACAAGCCGGCACUCCGGAGUCAGCCUACGCGACUAUGUUCGCUCGUGCGGUAUUGAGAAGCCUACGGGGUCGAGUGGGACAGACACAUUCCAAGAGUAGGGAUGUUGGGCUACCACAGGCACUUAGGCGGCACAAGCUGGAUUACCUUGGGUAGGACCUUAAUUAAAAAUGGAAAUCGACACGGGAUGAGUAUGUUAUAAUCACUACUAGAUAGAGAGUAGUAGUUGGAUUACUCAGACUUGCUUUUAGCAUAGAUUUGGACCUUUGGGUAUAUAUACAUACAUGUAGUAUGCUAGGAGACAUUGCUUAUUUGCAUUCAUAUAUACAAUGUUGCUAUGAUAAAGGAUAAUCCUCAUAAUUUCAUUAAGCAAACCAUGACAUUAUAUGGAUGGCUAAGUAGAGACAUAUUCCUUAAUUGACAAAUAGAUUUGCAUUUACAUAAAUGCCCAUGUUUAAUUGCAAGUACAGUAUUUAGCAUUUUCAUUAUACUUUCAUAAAUGAAAUUACUCGUUAAUACUAUUGCUUUCGACUUACCCUUUUCCUUUUCGGGCUAGUGGUGCAUUUGAGUGAGCGUUAAGUAUUUACCCACUGGGAUACUAAAAUUAUUAGUUCUCACGCCACUCUUUUCAUGAUUUCUUUCAGAGAGCCUUCCACCGGGAGAUGUCUAGGACUCGGUGGGAAAGGGCUACUGCUUCGAGUUAGCCUUCAGCGGCUGAGAGUUUUAGGUGGUCUACGUCAUCAUGUAUUUCAUUUUUGAGAGUGAUGGUACACAUCGUAUAGAGACCUCUUUUGUACUUUGCAGACGAUAUUGUAUUAACUUAUGUUACUUUAUCGUUUAGGAUAUGUUUUUUUACUCUGGUUUAGAUAUAGAAUUUACUUGCUGCUGAUAUAUUAGGUUGUUAUUCAUUCUCAUUUAUUCUACCGUCUUGCUUUACUUCCGCUCUUUAUUGUAGACGCCUUAUAUGUGUAGACAUAUGGCGGGUCUGGGCGCGCUACCGGGAGGGCCUCCACCGGUCCCGAGGCGUGACAGAUUAGUUUGGUAUCAGAGCCUAGGGUUGAGUCUUAGUGGACCUAGCAAAACUUAGGCCGGUUGGACCAUAGGAGUUAGGCUCGUGAGAGACGAGGUCUAAUUGACUUGUGAGCGAAAGUAUUACGAUUGGGUAUAUGAUAACUCUAAAAAGUUAGAGUUGAUCGGAGUGUAUGGCUUCUAACUUCGCGGAGGGUUACGUUGGCGGCCGACAACGUAACAUCGGGAGUUAGUAGUGGAGGACACUUCCUUACUUUCGCAUGAUUUGGGUUUUAUCGUUUUGAGCUAGGAUGCGAUAGCGUGGGUUACUAACCUGCGCUUUUAUGUUUUGUAGUGACGAUGCCGGUUACAUGCUCCCAGUCUGGCGGGGCCGAUGAUGCGGCACAUCCCGAGGAGGUCGAGACCUCCGCUACUUCCGGAUCUAGUGAGGUCCGUGACUUGAGGGCGCAGCUUGCGGUUCUCACUGAUCUGUUGGCGCAGCAGUCGGCAGCGGCGCAGCGACAGGCUGAGGUGGCUCAGCGGCAGGAGGCGCGGAUGAAGCAUCUUGAGGACCUCCUACUUCAGCAGGCGGCGGCUUCGAGGGAGACCGAGGGUCCCACACCGCCAGCACCCGUGGUGGACGUCGCACCGAGGACGCAGUCCCCUGCGUCCAGUUCUUCACAUGCGGCACCGGCGACCGCACCGCGGGAGGAGGUGGCUGCGGUACUACCAGUUCAGAGACCGGCGACAGGGGCGGCAUUCCCCGUGAUGGCCGAGGGAGCCGAGCGGGAUCGGCUCAUGGAUUGCCUCAAUGAGUUUAGGAGGUGCAGCCCGAGGACGUUUGAUGGCUAGAACGUCGACCACUGGAUUGUUGAGAAGUGGUUGAUGCAAAUGGAGAAGCUUUUUCGAGACACCUUUGUGGAGGAGUAGGACGGAGUUUGGCUCGCCACUCACUUUCUUUACGACGAGGCCUACCGUUGGUUGUUGGAUAUCCAGGACAACCCUAACUCCGACUUGGCAGCGAUUACUUGGACGCGAUUCAAGGAGCUUCUUCUGGCGCACCACUUUCCGACCAGCGUCAAGAGGAAGAUGGAGCAGAAUUUGCGCAGCUUGCGCCAGAACGAGCGAUCAGUGGCUGAGUACGAGAGGGAGUUCUCCCGGAUACUAUACUGUGUACCGUUUGUUGUGAGGGAUGACGAGGACAAAGCCCGCAUAUUUGAGCGUGGUUUGCGGCCUUCUAUCUUCCGGUUGGUGCAGUCUUCCAACCUCCAGACCUAUCGGGAGGUUGUUGAUCGAGCAUUGAUAGUGGAGGCAGGAGCGUCGGAUUUGCAGGAGCGUCACGAGAGGUCGGAGAAAUGGAAGGGAAGGAGGGCCUAGGGAUGAGCCUCCCCCACUCUAGGGAUGAGCCUCCCCCACGGCAAUCCACUUCGGCGCCCAAUCCCGCACGGGCGAGCAUAUGUCACGAUGGCUAUCUCCGGAGUGCCGGCUUGUAGGGAGCGACCCUCACAAGCAUGUGCGAAUGAGCACAAUGGCAAGCAAGCAAUGAUCUGUCUCAAGUACGAAGUCCUCAUGUCUAAAAAUAUGGAAUAUAUCAAGUAUCUCAAUGGCCUAUCUCUAUGUCAUCAUGUCUCUAACAUGAAAUAUAGCAGAUGUACAAUGGCCUAUCAUCAUGUCUCUAAGUUGCAGUUUCAUAGUUUACUAGUUUCAAGUGCCUCUUGAUGACACUUCUGUUCAACGAGUUCCAAGCAUGGCAUUAAUAUGUUCAGGAUGCAUAAUUCACUCAAUUCUAGCAUGGAGACAUGUUCUCAACUUGCAAAACCAAGCACUAUCCACAUUGCAUGCAAUCUACACAUAUAGCUCUACUAUAUGGAGUACAAAUUUUACGAUAAAGGAGGCAUGCAUGUUAAGUGUUUUAAAAUUCACAUAAAUCAUGUUUAGCAAGAAUUUGCAUUCAAAAAUACUUUACGAAAAGUUUAGAAGGCAUAGGAGCCAUUUUGCCCCAUUUUCAUGAAGUCAAAUCCACCAACGGUAGACGGAGCCCUUCGUUUGCUCCGACGAAGGUGUCCUUUAGCCUCCUAGUACCCUAGAGGUAUGAAAACAAGUGUCACCUAACCGAAACGAACGACGCUAAGCUCAAUCAUUAAGCUUCCAUAGCUAGGUUGGAGAAAACUCACCGAAAGCUAAAGAAUCUCUCUCGAUCUCUAAAAGGGAGUUAGAAUCCUUCAAAUCCAACCUAAAUCAAACUUCUAAACCAAUCAAUUUGGCUCCAAAGCCCUCAAAUAAAAAAUCCCCAUUUUUAACCCUAAUAUGCCAAUUCUAGGGUUUGAUCUAGUAGAAGCUACCAAAACUUAAUCCAAAGGAAAGAUUAGGCUUACUAACCUCACAAGAAGCUCAAAACCAAGUCCCAAGUCCCCUAGAGUGGAAGAUCUCCUCUCAAACAAGCUCCUCUCCAAGCUCCAAGCCUUGAACAAUGGGGGAAACCCAACAAAAAGCAAGGUGGAGAAGAGAGGAGAGGUCAAAACCAACCAAAAUCCAUCAAAAAUGGAGAAGAAAUAAAAGGGAACUCCUCUUAUCUUGCUCUCCACUGUUCUAGGGCUCAAAACAGCCCCUAAGAGGCUGGGGUGUGCUUAAAUAGAAGUUGCAACAAUUACAAAACACCUCUCUACGAAACAGCCAAAAUCUGUACUGCGUACCGGUACACGGGUUUGUGUACCGGUACACAAUCCACGAAACGCCAAACCCGAGCCUCGGGUUUACCGGUACAGCCAUCAACCCCGUACCGGUACAGCAAGCGAACCUGUACCGGUACACAGCCUGCAGAAGGCUACCCGAGAGCUAACCAAAAAUUCAACUUUUUGGAUUUUGAUGCAAGGUUUUAAACUACCAUUCUCGGGACUCGAACCAUAGGUCGGAACGCUGUCAACGACCCACCAGAAAGUCUGAGAAAGCUCAGAACCCAUUCAAUCACUCGAACACCACAAUUUGCAAGGUCCAGUGCGUCACACAAAGCAGUCUCCUUGCCGCAGCUUCCUGAACUUGUCCCGAAGCUUUCUCCUUUCAGUGUCGGGGAAGUACGUAGAAAACAUUAAUCCCCGAAAUUCAUCCCACGCCAUAGGAGGAAGACUAGGCGAUCGAUCCCGUCGAAUGCCUUUCCACAACGCCUUUGUUGAUUGCUUCAAGCAAUGCACAGCUAGGGACACCUUAUCCCGCUCCAAGGUGUAUAGCUCCUCGAAGAGCGUUUCUAUGGAGUCAAUCCACAUCUCCACGAUCCACGGAUCGACAUUCUCUCCAUCGAAGGUAGGUGGAUCAAAUUUCUUGAAAGUCAUUAGGGCCGCCAAAGUCCGUUCUUUCUCUGCCUCCAAUUCCACAGAACUAGAGGUCGCUGCCCCCGAAUCCAUCGCGACUCCUGUCGGUACACGGCACGCUGCUACCGGCGCAGCCGCCGCAGGCUGUCACGUCAACAAUUCAUGGAGCUCCUUGAUCUGCUCCUUCUGUCGCUGCACUACGCCUAUGAGCGUAUUCAAUUGCUCGCGGAGCAUUGGGUCUCCGCUCGCCUCAGCUUGCCAAGGAACACCACUUGUCCCUUCCCGCGCCGAUCUGGAUGAGGAUCGCCUACGCGGUGCCAUCGCUUCCUGAAACACGACAACUCGAUUAGUUCUCGACCAACUUGGGUCGAACACAAGACCACUAACAACGGCUCAAAAGCCAAUCAGGCGAAAGUCACGCGAGGACGUCUAUUCUCAUCACUAGGUUUCAUGUUGUCGUACGCCAACAUGAACAUCCUCGGCUGAGAAUAGACGUUUACGACACAACCCAUUAAUAUUCGUCUACCUCUAACCACACCUCAAGUCUACCUCUAAUAUUCGUCUUAGAGGUUUACGACACAACCCAAUCCAUUAAUCUUUCGCCACAAAUCAUAAGUUCUCGUCUCUCACGAACCUUAUUCUCCUAUGGUUUACUAUCCUAGGUCUCCUAGGUCCAGCUAAACCAUUUCCCAUUCUCUACUUUAUGCUCUGAUACCACUUUAUCUGUCACGCCCCGCGACCAACCGCCAAUUUGGACCGGGUCGCGACGCCGACGACAGACCGCCGAACGGACCGGGGUUUCCCCUGUACGCGGACAGAGUCUCCCCUGUACGUUAUAGGCGUCGCAAUCCAAACAAUGUACAUUACAAGGGUUCCAACCAGGAACAGAUAUCAAUCAUAGAUUGCCAAUGGAAAGGUAUCAACAACAUAACACAUCCUAUGUUAUUACAUACAUUCACAUUAGAUUCAUUUAUUUACAUCACACUUGAUCGGGUCGCGGCGCCGACGACAGACCGCCGAACGGACCCGGGUUUCCCCUGUAUGCGGACAGAGUCUCCCCUGUACCUUUAGGUGUCGCAAUCGAAACAAUGUACAUUACAAGGAUUCCAACAAGGAACAGAUAUCAAUCAUAGAUUGCCAAUGGAAAGGUAUCAACAACAUAACACAUCCUAUGUUAUUACAUACAUUCACAUUAGAUUCAUUUAUUUACAUCACACUUUAUAUUACAUUCAACUUCCAAAUACAAUCUAAGUUAUUACAAGUUUAAUACAUUUUGUUCCUUUCAUUUUCUAUACCCUUAAGCUACGUCGACGGGGUACUACUAGCUCUGGUUUCUGGGGAUAGGGCGCUAUCUAUGGAGCUACGCCCUUGCCUCGCGCCGCCGCGCCGCUCACGUGCGAACCUGUAAAACCCCAAAACAACGUGGGGUGAGAACCAACUCCAUGGUUCCCAGUGGGUACGGCCACCCAAGGGAGGAGCUCGACCAACAGGUCCAAGGGAGGCAAAUACAAGUUAGUCCAAUAAACAGAUAGAUAUAUAUAUCAUAAACAUGCAACUAACUUUACCUUACUUUGCCUCACAACUGUAAUGAUGCCAUGCUAUAUGCAACAGGAAUAUAUGCAACAACUAGUAGAAUUAUUGAUUCUACAAUUAAUCUCACUAAUCUUAGCUCAUGUCAUCCAACUCUAAGGUUUCUACUACCUUAGGUUACACAUUUACCACUAGCCCUCAAGGUUCUAUCUACCUUAUUCCAACUAGCCACCCGACUCGGCCUCGAGUCAAUCAACUGCGGAUAGUCCGCGUUCUGCCCGGCUUGAGGUGAAGGACCCUGUCACAACGCACCUCAGCCUACAAGCCAAGAACCACAUCGCCUAACGGUCCGCCCGAAGGUCCGUGCACCGUGGUCAGGGAUCCGCCAGAGGGAGAGGAACAUAACCGCAUACACCCAUAGCCAAGACCCCCGAUAGGGAGAGGAACAUGCCGCAUACACCCUAGCGCUCUUUGUUCUUGCUUAGUCACAAUCCUCAAAGUUCUUCCGAUGGGAGAGGAACAUCGCCGCAUACACCCGCGGUCCAAGAACUAUUGAGUUCACAAGUCUUGGGAUUCCGGAAUCCACUUCACAAGUCAAGGGUCUGUAUCCAACCCUAUGCUAUCGACCUAUCUAGGUCUAAUGCACUUUCCACCCUAGGUCCAACUGACUCUAGGUCUAAUGCCUCAAUUUCACAACCUAGGUUUACCUUAACUCUAGGUUCAGUUCUCAACCUAUGUUCUUUAACACUAGGUUAGAUACCACACACCUAGAUCCCGACUCUAGGUUCACACUCAACCUAUGUUCUUUAACACUAGGUUAGAUGCCACUCGUUAUUUAUCCUAGGUUCAACAACACUAGGUUCAAUGUCAUCUAUGUCCGACCUAUGUUUAUUAACACUAGGUUCAAUGCCACUCGAUCUACUUGACGUCCUAUUGUCAUAUCGAGUACUACAGAUAUCCACAUUUCAUCUCGCAUACAUUCUAUGAUGCCAAUAUGCAUUUACUAUCUAGCAUGAACUCAUAAUGCUAAGUGCAACUAGCAUAUACUCCAAUGCACACAUACAUAUCAUUUGCAUUAUCACUAGCAUGUAUUCUAUAUCACGUCAUUUUACAUGGAUCUACUUAGCAUUUGCAUCAUAUUAUUAACAUGCAUUAGCUACAUGAAUCAACCACAUGCUCUAUUUACAUUUAUAUGCAUCAUCUAUAUGCCUCAUUUACAUUCAUAUGCAUCAACAUGGAUUCUUAAUCAUCCUAGACAUAAAGGGCGACCUAGUCGCUUCGAUAAGCACAACCCACCUUAACUCGCGUUCCGAUUGCUCGUCGACACUUGCAAUCGGCCUUCCGCGGCACUCGGCAUCCGUUUGGGCCCGAUCUCACAGUUGCUCUCCAAGAGCACGUCGCUUCGCCAUUUCAAGAGUUAAAGGUCUUCGCCUUGCUGCUACAGUGUUCGGGACCCGAUUUCACGAUUUAUGGACGUCGCCUCGGCCCUACAGGCGGAAAUGAAGCUCCAAGCAUCCGUUUCUUCAAUAUCUUUGUAACGGCUCGUCGGAUUGUCAAACCGUCUUCGCCAACGUGUUUCGUUACCUAGCAAUUAGGUUUACAGAGGGUUAAAUGAGAUCAAACCCUCAUAUAUAUCAAAACGCCAUUUUGGAGCCCUAGGUUUGCAUCUAAGCAAAAACCACCAUUUGAACUCUAGAUUCAAGCAUUAAACAUCUAUUAAGCUUGCUAGAACACUAAUCAAACCAUUUCUAGAGCAUUAGGAUCAAAUCCUAGAGAUCUACCAUUGUAGGGUUUGGAGCUUACCUUGCUAAGCUUGCUCUAAUGGUGAGAGGAAGAAGAAGAUGAUGUUGGUGAUGAUGAUCCCUCCAACUUCUUCUUUUCCUCCCUUUCCUUCUCCUCCUUCCUCUUCUUCUCCUCUUUCUUUUUCGUUUAGAGAGAGAGAGAGGUGGUGUUGGGUGUUAAACGGGUGAGGGAGAAGAGAGGAAGGCUUAAUUCCCCAAUCUGUACACUCUAAUAAGUGCUACAAGUGCAAAUAGGCCCCUCAACUUCAUGUUCAUUGCAUUGCCCCCGCGGGGGCCAUUUUUGUAUAGGGGACCGGUCCCUGGACUUGGGGGACCGGUCCUCGUAGGUCCAGAAUUCCAGCCUUUAAGGACUUAAAUUUUCAGCUUUUUAACCGUUUCUUCUCCGUUUUCGCUCGUUCUCGCUUGUUUGACCUCCGAUUCUUUUCAAAUCGAACCGAGACUCUCCAAACAUGUUUUCGAGCGUAUUUUCAUCAUCUUUUCAUCCACGCUAAUGCCGGAUUUGGCUCACGGCCCAACACGGCCUUUCGGCUCCAUUUUAGCUCCUACGUGCACUGAAACGCCCGAAUGCUUCCGGACCUCACCGGGACCAUUCAAAUGGCUCUCUAAUCAAAUGUACACCGUAACUUCAUAGUUUUUAGAAGUCCGAUACCUUACACGCGCACUGGCUGCUCAUCAGCCUACCGCCCUCCCUGUCUCAGCCGCUUAGCGGCGAAGUCGUCGCACACGCUAAGCUCGGCUCGAGUCGCAUGACUUGACAAUCUGGUGGCGAUCGCGUUGCACUUACCCAGCGUGAGCUCGAGUCCUGACACACCAUCUGGCGGCGAAUGGAUCGCACCACACCCAACAACGGUACAUGUCAGACUCAGUCACCUAGAGGCACCCACAUUGUACUUACCCAGCAUGGAUUCAGUCUGCUAUGGCGGUCUGAUCCUCAAAUGGCUUAACCAUCCUGGCGGCGAAAUCGUCGCACAAACGCCACAGCAAUGGUUCAAGCCCUGGGCGGUGAUCUCCAUGUGAUCACCCCCAAUCCUCCCUCGGUACCAAGCUCGGCGGCGAAGUCGUCGCACAAACACCCUAGCUUCUACCAGGGUCAUCACAAGUCAUGGGAUUCCGGAAUCCACUUUCCACAGGUCGAGGGUCCAUAGCCAAUCCUAUACUUUCGACCUAGCUCAUCCUAGUGGCUAUACCACUAUACUCAUCAACCUAGGUUCCAAUACUCUAGGUUCUAUGUCCAUGUCACUCACCUAGAUACACUUGCUAGGUUCUUGUCAUCUUUGCCUAGAUGUCCACUUCUAGGUUUACUAGUUCGACCUAGGUUUACUAACACUAGGUUCGAUGCCACACACCUAGAUUGUUCGACUCUAGGUUCACUCGUUUAACCUGGGUUCUUUAACACUACGUUAGAUGCCACUCGAUCUACCUGACAACCUAGUUGUCCAAUCAACUCUACUCACACUAGAGUUAUUAACUCAUACUUUCUACUUGGCAUUUACUCUAUGCAUCUUUGUUCAUCAUGCAUUCUAUUUAGCAUUUCCAUCUAUGCAUUACGAUUAGUAUGCAAUCUUUACAUUAGCUAGCAUUAUUUACAUGUCAUGCUAUCAUGCUUGCUACUUACCAUGCAUUCUUUACUUAGCCUUUACUUUAUGCAUAUUUAUUAAUGCACCUUUCAGUCUUGUCACAUGCACAUGCAUCAACAUGAGAUUGCAUUGCUAAGACAUAAAGAGCGACCUAGUCGCUUCGGUAAGCACAACCCACCUUAGUUAGCUUUUUCGAUUGCUCGUCGACACUUGCAAUCGGCCUCCCGCGGCACUCGGCACCCGUUUGGGCCCGACCUCUCAGUUGCUCCCCAAGUGUAGCACACUGGACCUUUGCAAAUUGCGAGGUUCGAGUGUUCGAUUUGUAUUCCGAACUUUUCCACACUUGGUGGAGGGCCGUUGAUGGCAUACCGGCCUAAAAGUUCGAUCUCGAGAGUUUUGGCAGAGUCCUGAGAGUUUUUACUCUCGGGGACCGGUCCCUGAUAGGACAGACCGGUCCCCCAGUGAACAGUGCUGCGCAGCCGGCGAGGCAGCCGGUCCCUGGCAGUCGAGACCGGUCCCCGAGCGCGUCUGCGCGGGGAGAGACCGGUCCCGCGCAGGGAGAGACCGGUUUCCGAACGUUGGAUUUUCGGGGGCAGGCUGAGAGACCGGUCCCAGGUCGGGGAGACCGGUCCCUCUGGGCGAAAACUGCCCAGACCGGGCUGAUGUAAAUUUGAGUUUUUGAGGGACCUAAGUGGAUUUUGUUGCUUUUAAUGGCCUAUUUGGCCAUUUCACUCUUUUCUCUCCUCAUUUCUUCCCUUCCCACCUAUUCUAGAGAGAGAAGAAGAGAGGGAUAAGAAGAAGAAGAAGAAGAAGAAGAAGAGGAGAAGGAGCUUGCUUGGAGGCUUUGGAGCAUCAUCUUCUUCCCCAUUUUCUCACCUUGGUGGCUUCGAGCUUGCGGUUGGAGCUUUGUGGACGAUCAAACUUCAACCCUACUUGGUUUUGAGCUUGGAUUGAAGCUCCUCUUGAGGUUGGUAGCAUGUAAUCCCUACUUGAUACAUGUUUUUCUAGGUUUUACUAGAUGAAAUCCUAGAUUGGGAUUCUAGGGCUAGAUUUGGGGCUUUUUGAUUUGAGGGCUUUGAAACCUUUUUGAUGGGUUUGGAACCUUUAUAUAGAUUAGAUUGGAAGACCCCUACCUUCCAUUUGAAGAUUAAGAGAGGGUUUUUCACUUGAGGUGAGUUUUUCCCAACCCUAGCUUGAGUUGGUUAAUGAUUGAACUUAGCGUCAUUCGUUUCGACUAGAUGACACUUGUUUUCAUGCCUUUAGGGUACUAGGAGUGUGGUGGACGCCUUCGUCGUGGCAAACGAAAGCUUUCGUUGACGACGGUGGGUUUGGCCUCGUGGAAAUGGGGCGAAAUGGCCCCUAUGCUCUUUCUAUUUGUUGUAAAAUAUUUUUAAAUUCAUUUCUAUGCUAAAUGGAAUUUAUAUGAAUUUUAGAGCACCUAAAAUGCAUGCCUUGUGUAUUAUGAAAAUUUCACUAUAUAGUAGAGCUAUAUGAGUAGAAUGCAUGCAUAUGGGAAAAGUGUUUAUUUGCAAGUGAAAAAUACAUCAUUUAUGAGGAUUAUGACUUGGAAAAUGUACUUUGGAAUAUAGUUGCCAUGCUCUGGCAUAGAGAACAAGAGUGUCAUCAAGGGGCACUUGAAACUAGUAAACUAUGAAACUGCAACAUAAAGACAUAUUGAUAGGCCACUACUUAUCCGCUACAUUCCAUGUUAGAGACAUGAUGACAUAGGGAUAGGCCGUUGAGAUACUUGACACAUUCCAUGUUAUUAGACAUGAGGACUUGGUACUUGCGACAGAUCGUUUGCCUACUUGCCAUUGUGCUCAUUCGCACAUGCUUGUGAGGGUCACUCCCUACAAGCCGGCACUCCGGAGAUAGCCAUCGCGAUUCAUAUUCGCCGUGCGGGAUUGGGCGCCGAAGUGGGUUGCCGUGGGCCAGGCUCAUUCCUACGGUGGGGAUGAUGACUACCACGGGGCCAUUAGGCUCGGUAUCGGCCAGACAGCCUACGGGUGGGUCUCAGGGCCAUAGACAAUCUUCGGGUGGGUCUCUUCAGAUUGGACUUUGAGUAUUCACUAUAAUAUGUGAACUUUAAAACUGUUAAAGUGGACUUGGACUAGGAUAGUAAACUAUGACACUUUUACUAUCUCUGCAUUGAGGAUAUCGGAUUGGUUGCAUUUCUAUGCUUAUGCAUGUCAUACACAUCCAUGUACAUUCAUGAUAUCGUUGCUUUAUUACUUAUGCAAAUCAUGCUAAGUAGAGACCUUAUGUUAUAGCAAAUUACAUUUUACUUGCCUUUCGCUUUACUACAUUGUUAGUCACUGACCACUUUCCUUAUAGUUUUGGGCCUUGUGGUGCAUUCACUGAAGUCAGUAAUUGCCCACUGGGAACUAUUUUUAAUAGUUCUCACGCCCUCUUUUUCGUGGUUUCUUUCAGAGCCUUCUGCACCGGUGGAGGCACGGGAUCGAGGCAAGGGGAUCGCAUAGCUAGCUAGCGAGGAGCGGUUCUUUGCCUAGGUAGUUGAGAGAGAGAGUGAGAGAUUUUGUAUCCCUGUAUAGAGACCACCUGUGUAUCUACUUUUAGCACUUGUAUUUAGAAUUUCUUCUGUAUUACUUUAUGUUUCUUUAGUGAAUCUCAGUUUUAUCCUUAUUCCUUGGUUGUAGAAAUUAGACACUUAUCAUGCUCUGAUACUCUUAGUUCUCUUUUUACUGCUUUAUUU
RNAcentral lists this long non-coding RNA (17930 nucleotides) under Ananas comosus (pineapple). RNAcentral's name for it is "long non-coding RNA (ACOM_LNC037563)". The record is from RNAcentral. Lineage: Eukaryota; Viridiplantae; Streptophyta; Magnoliopsida; Poales; Bromeliaceae.